Molecule: ribosomal RNA, 253 nt
Filed under: uncultured prokaryote
Description: partial 16S ribosomal RNA
Rfam family: Bacterial small subunit ribosomal RNA
Source: RNAcentral
ACGUAGGGUGCAGGCGUUAAUCGGAAUUACUGGGCGUAAAGCGUGCGCAGGCGGUCUAUUAAGACAGGUGUGAAAUCCCCGGGCUUAACCUGGGAACUGCGCUUGUAACUGAUAGGCUUGAGUGUGGCAGAGGGGGGUGGAAUUCCAGGUGUAGCAGUGAAAUGCGUAGAUAUCUGGAGGAACACCGAUGGCGAAGGCAGCCCCCUGGGCUAACACUGACGCUCAUGCACGAAAGCGUGGGGAGCAAACAGUA